This 1321-nucleotide ribosomal RNA is filed under the name Leiogalathea anchises. RNAcentral's name for it is "SSU rRNA". Lineage: Eukaryota; Metazoa; Arthropoda; Malacostraca; Decapoda; Munidopsidae. The record is from RNAcentral.
AGUCAUAUGCUUGUCUCAAAGAUUAAGCCAUGCAUGUGUCAGUACAAACCAAUAUAAGGUGAAACCGCGAAUGGCUCAUUAAAUCAGCUAUGUUUCAUUGGAUCUGUACCCCCCAUUUACUUGGACAACUGUGGUAAUUCUAGAGCUAAUACAUGCACACAUAGUCCCUGACCGUGAGGGAAGGGCGCUUUUAUUAGUUCAAAACCGGUCGGGCCUCGGUCCGUAAACCCACCUKUGAUGACUCUGAAUAACUUUUGGCUGAGCGCACGGUCUCCGUACUGGCGCCGCAUCUUUCAAGUGUCUGCCUUAUCAGCYUUCGAUUGUAGGUUAUGCGCCUACAAUGGCUAUAACGGGUAACGGGGAAUCAGGGUUCGAUUCCGGAGAGGGAGCCUGAGAAACGGCUACCACAUCUAAGGAAGGCAGCAGGCACGCAAAUUACCCACUCCCGGCACGGGGAGGUAGUGACGAAAAAUAACGAUGCGAGACUCAUCCGAGGCCUCGCAAUCGGAAUGAGUACACUUUAAAUCCUUUAACGAGGACCCAUUGGAGGGCAAGUCUGGUGCCAGCAGCCRCGGUAAUUCCAGAUCCAAUAGCGUAUAUUAAAGUUGUUGCGGUUAAAAAGCUCGUAGUUGGACUUACGUUUUGGACUGACGGUUCACCGCCCGGUGCUUACUGUCACGCUCCCGAGCCGCUCAUUAAUUUGAGCCCUGCCGGCUUGCACGGGGUGCUCUUCACCGAGUGUCCCGAGUGGCCGGCCUGUUUACUUUGAAAAAAUUAGAGUGCUUAAAGCAGGCUACUUGUAUGGCCUGAAUGUCUAUGCAUGGAAUAAUGGAAUAGGACCUCGGUUCUAUUUUGUCGGUUUUCCUUAUCGGAACCCGAGGUAAUGACUAAUCGAGACAGGCGGGGGCAUUCGUACUGCGACGCUAGAGGUGAAAUUCUUGGACCGUCGCAAGACGAACUACUGCGAAAGCAUUUGCCAAGGAUGUUUUCAUUAAUCAAGAACGAAAGUUAGAGGUUCGAAGGCGAUCAGAUACCGCCCUAGUUCUAACCAUAAACGAUGCUAACUAGCGAUCCGCCGGCGUUAUUCCCAUGACCCGGCGGGCAGCUUCCGGGAAACCAAAGUCUUUGAGUUCCGGGGGAAGUAUGGUUGCAAAGCUGAAACUUAAAGGAAUUGACGGAAGGGCACCACCAGGAGUGGAGCCUGCGGCUUAAUUUGACUCAACACGGGGAACCUCACCAGGCCCGGACACUGGAAGGAUUGACAGAUUGAGAGCUCUUUCUCGAUUCGGUGGGUGGUGGUGCAUGGCCGUUCUUAGUUGGU